AUGGAGCGAGGGCUCGUCGCAUUGCUGGGUCUGGGGCUGGCGCUUCUUCUGCUGGCGCCCUCCCGUCGUCUCGCCUCGGCCGCUCCGGUGGAGGACGGCCUCCUCAUGAAUGGUGAUUUCGAGACAGCACCACCUGGCGGUUUCGUCAAAUCUGCUUCAGUUUCCGAGGGCGCAGCGAUCCCAAGCUGGAUGAUCAAUGGAACAGUUGAGCUCAUUUCCGCAGGCCAGCACCAGGGUGGCAUGAUCCUUAUUGUUCCACAAGGCGAUCAUGCUGUGCGGCUAGGGAAUGAUGCAGGCAUUGGGCAGGUGGUGGAGGUUGAGAAGGGCUCAGAGUACGCGAUCACAUUCAGCGCCGCCCGGACCUGCGCGCAGCUGGAGUCACUGAACAUCUCCGCUGGGAGCGUGUCGCAGACAGUCGACCUGCAGACACUGUACAGCAUAGAAGGCUGGGAUGCAUAUGCACUGGCUUUCCAAGCAGUGGAUGAGCAGGCCAGCAUUGAGUUCAGGAACCCUGGCAUGGAGGACGACCCGACCUGUGGGCCUAUCCUUGACAACGUGGCCAUCAAGAAGCUCUUCUCCCCCGACAAAGCAAAGGAGAACAUGGUGAUCAAUGGGGACUUUGAGGAGGGGCCAUGGAUGUUUGCAAACACAAGCUUCGGCGUCCUGCUCCCGACGAACCUCGACGAGCAGACGUCGGCCUUGCCGGGGUGGAUGAUCGAGUCGAACCGCGCAGUCCGCUUCGUUGACUCCGACCAGUACACCGUUCCCCAGGGGAAGCGCGCCAUAGAGCUUCUCUCCGGCAAGGAGGGCAUCAUCUCGCAGAUGGUGGAGACGACCCCUCAGAAGGCGUACACCCUGACGUUCACGCUGGGCUCAGCAGGCGAUUCGUGCCAGCCGCCAAUGGCCGUCAUGGCGUUCGCCGGCGACCAGGCCCAGAACUUCCACUACGCCCCCAUGGGCAACGCCACGAGCCAGGCCGUGAACGUGAAUUUCACGGCGCGCGCCGAGAGGACGCGCGUCGCGCUCUACAGCGUCUACUACAACACGAGAAGCGACGACCACAGCUCGCUCUGUGGGCCGGUGAUCGACGACGUCCGCGUCUGGGGCUUGAACGGGGCUGCUGGGUUGAAGGCGAGCAUCAGGAUGCUUAUUGCCAUGGCUAGUGUCAUCGUUCUUGUGCUGUUCUGA
Molecule: ribosomal RNA, 1188 nt
Filed under: Triticum aestivum (bread wheat)
Lineage: Eukaryota; Viridiplantae; Streptophyta; Magnoliopsida; Poales; Poaceae
Description: partial small subunit ribosomal RNA
Source: RNAcentral